UAAAUAAAUAAAUAGCGUAAAUGGUCUAGAGACUCAAACAAAAAAAGUAAAUUACACUGGUGUGCUUUAGCUCAGAUACUAAUUGCUUCCAGUGGCAUCAAAUAAUUCUAAACAUGGACUUAAUUCUUGUAAAACCACAUCAUUUAAGAAAUGUCUUUCUGCAGGUGAGGGGAGGACCAGCAAGGAGCUAGUAGGUGAACUGUGGUGCUGCAACAGGCUCCAGUGUUUAGGGAAGAAGCUUUGUGAUUUCCCACAGUGUUUUGAAACUCUGACUGCUGUACAAAUGCCUCCAGUGUAUUUCAAGUAUUGCAAUGGAAACUAAUCUUGCUCUCAACUACUCGAACAUGCAAGAAAUGUUCUACAUUUUAAUGUACAGGAGGGAAGCAGCCACUUCUAGCUAGCAAGAAAAGAAGUAAUGGGACUAUCCAAACAGGAUGUAUGUAUAAUGCAGUUAAAAAAACCAACAAACUGUUUCCAGACCUCCUCGGGACUUCAGUGCAUGUGCAGAACAUGCUCCUGUCCUUGCAUGGCAGCGCAGGUCCCUACAAGCCGGAAGAUGUGUUUCCCAUACACAGGAUCAAAAGACGCUCUCAGGUUUUACAGCACAUCUCCCAGUGCCAGUCUGGCAAAGAGCAGCAGCAGAGGUGGAACAGUGACCAACUCAACCCUUCGAUUAAAAAGGAGGGGGAAGUGGUUACUCUCAACAAGAAACAAAUAUUUUUGUUCCGAGGGAGAGAUGUACACAGGUAAGGAGUCCUAAUGUUACUUCUGAAAGCCCGUUUAUCCUUUGAAUAUUCACUGAAGAUAGUAAUUAUGCCUUGCAUUUUUCCUCAUUUCUGUAGUACCUGGGACAAAAAGCUCUAGCUAGCAAGGAAAAAGCUUCAUCACCACCCCAGUCUUCAGGUCAUGGAAUGCUUUUGUCCUUGCCAGACACUGCUGUCAAAGUCUGCACUUUGGGCAACUCUGCAAUCCCACUUUUGGAACCACCACAGACGAGGAAAUCAACUUCUAUCAUUAGAAAGUCCCGUAAACCCUCCUCCCCAAGCCUGCCAGUAAGAAGCUUCCUUCCUAGCUGGAAUAGCCAUCAGCAGUACUCAGCUGAUAGACUCAAGAUGUCUCCUCUGAUUACAUGUAGGAGCUGGGAACAAAGGGGAGAGGGGGACACAACAAGUCCCCAAAACAUAGUCCUUGAAGCACAAGUUGCAAGCAAAGGAAGUCAAAUAAUAAAGUUAUUCAAAGACUGUAAGAACAAGCAGGCUAGAAACAAAACCAGUACUUUGGUUUAAAACUCACUUUAGACCUACUGCAACUGAUAGAACCUGCUGGCAGAAAAGUCUCCAACAGCCUUGAAAGCAGGUUUUGUAAUAGUGCUUUUGAUAGGACACCUUACUUUAAGGUGAAGCAUCUGCUUCUACUGCAUGGGGUAGACAGUGUUUGACUCCACUGGGUGCAUGUUAUAAGGAUCACCUUCUCCUGAUGAGAGCAGAAAAUACUGCCAUGAGGGUUUACCUGCAGCAUGAGUCAUAGAAGACCUGCUUCCAGACAAGUGUGACAUGCGAAGGAAUAUAAAUAAAAUUGGGAGGAAGCAAAACAAUACCCUCAAGAGUGUGGAGAAAAGGAAAUGGAGACAGAAAAUGAGAUGGCGUGAAGACAUCCUCCUGGACUUUGAGAUGAUGUCCACCUGCCCCCAGAGCACUUCUCUGACAUCAAGCUGGAGCAGAAAAAUGAGGUUUGGGAACAUUUGCAGGUACGAAGACUGAUGGUGAUAAACCUCCCAGAACUGCUGUGCUGGUGGGCAGAAGUACAGCAGUAGUGCAUUGCUUUGCUAAUCUUGCUCCAUCAGCAGGGCUUGCCCCUCACCCCAGCUCCCUCCUGCAGUCCUAUGGCCUCCUCUCAUCCAACAGUGGGGGCCAGCAGAUGGUUUUCCCUGCCUUGCAAGGAACCAAAUCCCGAGAAACCACAUGGGCAAACCCAGCCUUUGCUCCCAAGAGCUGAUGCAAAACCCAAUGUGAGGGUCAGACACAGAGAGAAGGUAGCCAGCACAGCCCAGCUGCAUUUCUCUGCAGAUUGAGAGGGUCAGGUUUACAGCACUGAGCAAGCACCAGAAAAAUAAAUGAUUAAAGGAAAUUUGACAAGGAAAGGGGGUGGACGUGGGUAGAGAAACAGGAAGGAAGGAAAACUCAGAAGAUCUUGGAAGAAAACCAAUAGGUAAGAAAAGAAACAAAAAAAAAAAAAAAAAAAAAAAGAAAAAAAAAGAAAAAAAAGAAAAAAGAAAAGAAAAAAGAAAACAUCAGAAAUCAUCAGCUGAGUUUACCCAUGGCCAAAGUGGAAAGAAAUGGCCAGUGCAAGCAAGAUGCUGGGAGAUGCUGCCCUGCUCUGCUAGUUGCCAGGCUUACAGCAGACCUCUCUUUCCAGUGCUGGGUUCAUGUGACAACAGCUUCUUGCUUGCUUUUGGUAGUCUGCAGAAAUGGGGACCUGCUGCAGUUCCUAUCUCCUGUCAAUCAACUCCACAGUCUAUCUGUGCCUUUUUUAGUCAAUUGACCUCUUCUAUUUUACUUCUUUUUAAAAUUCUACACUGCUUUAGAAGCCUAAGUCCUACAAAAAUCAAAUGCUCCACUAAGCAAACAGGGCAUAUAUCAAAAACAGUCUCCAGAGCUGUACUUUUAGUUUCACUGAUCUCUGUGCCCUCUCCACCCCUGCACAGCUCUUGCAAGAAAGAUCACCUUGUGCUGUUACAAAAGGGGGGAAAAAAGGAAAAACAAAAAAAUCCACAUUUUUCAAUGAAUUUAUUGUAGGAGCAGUUCCUAUAUCCAUUCUGCUAGAGGGAAGGAAACUGAAUUUAUCGAUUCCUCAAGUAUGCCAGACCGUGUAAGAAAGAAAAAGAAGGUAUUGAAACCAACAGUUAAGUUGUAUCUCAUUCCUGAGCUCCGAUUUUCCAGCUUGGUCCUGAAGAAGGACAACUACCAUCAUCUCCCUGCAAUUUGGUGGCCGACAGGAAACAAUUUUGUGGUUUAAAUCCAGCUAACAGCAAACCAAGCCCAUGUCAAGAGCGAGCCUUGCCACACAACGCACUUUUGUUUGCAGCCUCAGGAUUUAAUUAAACAGGUAGAUAAAACCUACCUUUUAACCCACGCUCCAGGGUGUGCCUCAGUGAGAUAAAAAAAACAGGCUGCAAAAACAGGUCAAAGAUGAUUCCAGUGCUGGUGCAGCAUCUGUGCCGCACUCAAACACCAUCCCACUGCACUCCUCAAGGAGGGGAGCAGCACCAAAAAACCUCACUUUCUGGCCCAAAGGCAGGUUGGUUUAGUUUCUCUUUUUCAGUGCUGCAUUUGGGUUAUCCAUGGGCUGCAUGGGGCCAUAGCAGGAUCUAAUGUGCUGAGAAAUUAAAAAUCCAGCUCCCUUCCUCUUGUGGCAACCCUCUUCCCUUCCAGUUGUCUGACUGAACACCCUCUCCAUACGUCUUCCACCUACAACUUCUCUUCAAGGCAUUUUCAAAACAUAAGUAGAAAGAGUAGAAAGGGCAAAUCCCUUCAUUUUCCCCCCCUCUUCUUCAUCUGACAGAUCUAUUAUUCCCUUAUAAACAACAACUUCUCCCAGAGACUGAACAAAGCAGCUACUUACAUGUCAUAUUUUAAACAGGCAUGUUUUCAGGCCAAGAAAUAAACAGUUAUAUUUUGGCAAUCCUUCAUUUCCUGUCCUAUUUGUGAGCGAUAAUGUAAUAACACAGUGUGUCCCAUGCCUUCCUCCCUGGCUGAAACUUGCAGCAAAGUAAUUUAGCUGAAUGAGCUGCCUUUAAUACCUACAGAAAACUCAUUAGAAUGGGGCAUAAAUGUAGUGAAAAUGAAGGGAGGGAAAAUAAUUUUUUUUCAGCACAAAGGGCAAACUGCAAUACUGAAGGAUUCAGUAUUCAGAACAAACACUGCUGGUGUCUGCUCAGAUGUGGAGGGAAAUGAGAUUUUUGGAUGGUCAAAAGAACCAGCAAGAGCAAGUUAAGUCUAAUUUUCUUUCCUUAGACUGGAAAAAACAUAUCGGUGUGAUCUCACUCCACAUUUUGCCGUCCUGGACACCACCACAGCAACCCUAUACAUAUGCCACUUAACCCAGCUCGUUCAAAACCUCCGGGGGACCAGUCCUACUUGCAAACACUUGGCAGGAGCGCUCCCAGCUCACUGGAAUAAAUCAGGCGUGCGCUGGAGCGGCGGGGCCACUCCCGGGACACAGCCCGGCCAGGGUAUCGCGGCUCCAUCCCAAGCAGCGCAAGGCUGCGGACCAACACUUCCUCGUUCUCUGACCUUUUCCAUUUAAUUACUUCCUGUGACUUUCUUGGAACCAAGCAUCGGAACGAGCAGGCGGCAGCCUCCGGGCAUAACCGAAUCACUUUAAGGGUUCAGCUCCAUUCUCCUCCUCACAGGCGGAAAUCCACGGGCAGCCCAUCCUGGAUGGCUUCGGAGAGGGUCGCCCACAGCCGCUCAUCUUCUGGGUGCGGCGCUGCCCGAAAUCCCCCCAGCGCUCAGGUCCAGCACCGCAGCCUCUGAUUUAUGACCUGGCAUCCCCAUUCUGUCCCCACCCUGCAACGUGCGAGGCAGCACGGGCUGAGCGAGGGGCAAGGAGGAAAGCAGAAAUAAAGGCUGAGAUGCAGAGAGAGGCACUUGCUUGGCAAUGACAAACUGACCUCUAAGUAUUGAUCUGAAAUGGUGCAGUUCUGAAGGGACCGAUGAGUUUUCAGCAUCCUAAGUCCUGUUUGUUUCUCUUCUCGCUUUUAUAAAUUGCCUUAAAACUCUAAGCGUAAUUGAGCUGUUCUCAAGAAACUACUAAAAAAAAAAAAGGCAAAAAGAAGGGGGGGAAACCCUUGUUAUUUACUUGAAGAGGGUUAUUGUAAAAGGCAUCCUGACAGUGGUCCCUUUUUUUGUAAUCUGGCUGUUAACAUUUGCUCACAGUGCACUCAGUGAAACAAGAAUAGCUAUGCAAAUUAAAGCCAGACAUCUAGGGCAAAUAGCGCGCUAUACUACCAUUGUUCUGACAGCUUGAGAAAACUUAUCAGGAGAGCCUGUCCUUAUUUCUUUUAACACUAUAUAUAUUGGAGGGAAAAAAAAAAUCAAAUCACUUCACCCACCACUGAAAUGAAAAAACAACCCAUGAGUCACUGACUUCAGCAACACUAUCAAUCAAUGCAAGGCUGGAAGCAAGGAGCUUACCGAGGAAACCAUGGCUUACCAAAAACACCUCGCCAUGCCCUACAAAGCCAAGGCCUGCACUAAACCCUGACAGCCCAACCACAGCCUCCAGGAGAGCCACCUGGGACGUGCACUCAGGUAAGGACCAUGAGGCAUCACUGACCCUGAAAGUCAAUACAUCCAGAGUCCAACAAAAAAGCUUUCAGUGGCCUGGGAAUGGGUUGGGUACCAGCUCCCUGUGGUCACUAGCACUCUCAACCUCCAAGGGAUCAAAGGACACAGUGCUGCUGGCUUGACAGCUGACCCCAGGAGAGGUGGCAUGACCCAAGAGCUCCCACACACAUGAAAACCACUAGCUGAAGCCUCUGUCAGCAUGGCAGUGCAGCAGCACACGGAAGAAUUCACUCCCAAAACAAACUGCAGCCUACAGUCAGGGGAAAACAAUCCCCCACUUAACCAUCAGAGCCAAGUGCUUGGUGUUUUACACCAACACUCACCUCUGCACCGAGCGAGCCCUGCAGGGAAACACAUUUGGAACAGUAUCUGGCCUCAAGAUGAAGGUUGGAGAGCACCAGACUUACGUCCAUUAUUGGAAAUGAGUUGGCCACGUUUUUCCAGCCUGUUAGGUCAUGGCAAUCUGCAUGCAACUAGUUAUUUUUUGGUAUUUUUUGUUUUUUUUUUAAUUAUUUGUUUUGGUUUUUCUUUAAAAAAAUUCAAAAUAACCACGAUUUUAGAAGAUACAUAUAAACACGUAUUUAUAGUCUCUUCAUUAAGAGCUGCCAAAAUAACAAUUCCUCUCAACACACAUGUUGGGGUCAGAAGCCAUUUCUUUCGCCACUCACAUUUCUCCAGUAAAUCACCCUAAAAUACGUUUACCAUGAUGAAGGUGCAAGCAUGGCACAUGCCACUGAUUAUGAUUUUUUUGGACCUCAAAACCGAGCCAAAAAGUUGCACAAUUUGGACGCUGCUUUAUAAGCCCUGCAAGGAGUCGUUUUAAAGCACAGUACAUCCUAUGGCGCUUGGCACCAACCCAGUCCUGCACGCCAGUGAGUCAUUCCUCUUGACUGUCAAAACCCCGAAGGAGAUAGCCAGGAACAGCCCUUGGGCCAGCGCGGCGUGAAAGAGCCCUUCCUGCCAUUCCGCUGCAGUAGUUUUAGGUUUUAUUUUGGGGAAGAAUGCAUUAAAAAAGGGAAAAGGGCACCGUCGGGCAUUUUGAAAGGGUCGGUGCGGCCUCUCGGGGGUUUAUUAGCAGGGAGGCGGCGGGGGGCAGCGGAGCGGGGGUGGGCGGCGGGGGGUGAGGGUGAAUGGGGAGGCCGCCGGUGACCAGGUUUAUGAAUGCGGCGUCAUGUGACGGCGGCGGCGGCCGCCCUCCUAUUCACAAAACGGCGGCGGCCGGGGCGGGGAUCCGCGACGUCGUGUGUUCCCCCCCCCCCCAAGGUCUGCUUCCCGACCCCCCCAGGCCCGGGGCUGCAAGGCGGGGGCGCGCACCGGUCCCCCCUCCCAUCUCCGCCGCUUCCGCCUCCGACCGCCUCCACCGGGCGACCCGAGCCCCUCGGCCGGGGCGGGGAGCGGCGGCGGAGCGGGGCUGCGCCCCCUCCCUGCGGUGCCCCGGGGCCCCGCACCCCGGCGGGGCCGCGCCGCCCUCCCGGGGGUUUUUAUGAAUGAAAGGGCCGUAUGCAAAUGAGCGCGGCCCGGGGGGAGCGCGAAAUGGCGGAUGCGCGGGCGGGCGGCGCGCACACGAACGCGCGUGUCCGCGUCCUUCUGUCCGCCCGCGGCCGCUCCGUCUGUCCCUCAAUGCACAGCGUACGGAGAUGAGCGACCCGCACCGGUUCCCGCCGGGGCAACAAAGACUGGCCCCUGUUCCGUGCCCCCACCGGCCCGCCGCCCCCGGCCCCGCUCACUCGUCAGGGAACAGAAGUGGAAACUCGGAGAGAAACCUGAGGACUGCUAGUAAUGAGAUGGAGGCAAGAGCUGAUGAAAGCUUUGAGGUCUUCUCCUCAGGGAGAAGCAGUGUGUCCUUUGGAGGUGGUUACUGUGCCGGUUCUUGUAAGCGUGUUGGAGCUGACUGACUUUUCUGAAUGAAAAGGCUCUCUCUCAGAGUCAUUUGUACAUGUGGAGGAGAGUGUUGGUCUUCCAUUACAGCAGAAGGAACUACAGCCCAAAAAGAUGCCUGGGUUUCAGGAAGAGGAUUCAAACUCAGGAACAUUUGGGAGUCAUUUAAGACAGGAAGACAACAUCCACUCGAGUUUAAUUCCCUGUGCUUGUUUGUAUGUGUCUAGUUGCUUGGCUGUGAGUGGUGCAUAAGUCACCUGAGACUCUCCAUUCCUCUGUAAUUUACUGUUGGAAAGGACAGAAAUAAAUUCUAAAAAAUUUCUGAGACAUACCAGAAUCACUCCAAACUUAAAAGAAUUUUGGAGUAAAGUUAAAUGCUUCAAGCCUAAAUAGCAUGCUGCUAAUUAUGUCCUUAUAGUUUAUAUCAUCAUGGAUUAAAAUGAAAUGCUGCUGUGAAGGUGCCCCAUCAAACAGAACAUGGUUGUAGUUGUUUGCCUUGUGUGGCCUGAGUAAAAGUGCAUUUCCGCCCUAGGAAAAUCCUUUAUGCCCUGAUUUCCAAGUUCAAAAAUAACUCUCUACAGAUGAAACACGUUUUUCACCCUUUAAACUAGUGUUUUCACCUACAAAUACUUGCUGGCUAAACAACAGCCCUUUCCUUUGCACUUGUGCCAACAUGCAACUUGGAUAAAGAACUAAACUUAGAUUCAUAGUCAUAAUGCUUCCACUGACUUUUUUGGUUUUGUUUUUUUUAAUAAUGACUGUAAGACAUGUGCCAUCUCUCUCCCAAAUUUUAAUCUUUCUAAUGAAGGUGUGUUUGAAGAAGGCACACCCUUCAGAAGAUGUUUUGUGGUAUUGUCUUUAAGCCUUUAGUGUUGAGGACCAGCUGCCUUUUCAAUUUUAAAUGCACUUUUCAGGGUCUUACAUCACAGAGACCUAAAUUAAAACACACUUUUCAUAAAGAGGUGCAGCACAUGCAUUCAUCCUGGAAAUUGCACUGCGACAUGAAAGAUAUCCAAACCCUACAUGUAAUUUUGAAGAUGAGCAAGCCUUGGCCUUUCAGAUGUCCCACGUCAGGGUAGUGCACCCAUGUCCCGCAAAAUUGUAAGCUUCUGAAUCAUGGAAGCUGAAUCUUAAAGGCUCUAAUUCCCACUGAAUUAGAGGUGUUUGACUAUGUGUGUGGCUGUGAAAAUUAAGUCCAGUGCUGGAUCGGGGGUGGCUGACUGCCUGGUGCAUGUGAGCCUACACAGGAACACCUGUGGUCCAACACCCAGGGUGACCCAGGGAGAUGCAGAACUCAGUGAUGGGCGCUCUCACUUUGUGCCUCCCAGCUCAUCCUCCACAUGUUAUUCAGGCUCAGGGAUCAGGAUCUGGUGGCUCCCCAUGGCAUGAAAAUUUUCUUUAGUGGUUUGCAGGCUGAGGAGAGCUGGUCAUGCCUUGUAUAAAGAAUUAUCUGAUUAGUUCUAGAUGUCUUUCUCCUAAUUAAGGUUACUGGAGAAAAUUUUUCUUCUCUAGUAUGGUGGUACACACCAGGAGUAAGACCACUGCACCUUUAUUUCGGAUGUAUAUACCAUGGUGAGAGCAGCAGCUGGUCUUUAACUUCUCUCCCUGCAGCUAUGGAAACCUUGCCACAGGCUGUGCACCCCUGCAGAAACAGAGACCUCCUUUUGGGGUUCAUGGGUUUAAUGUCAAAUUCUCUCUCCAUAUACAUGGCUCCCAGGAACCAAACAGUAGCUUCAGAGAGCAAUCAGCUUCAUUAGCCUGCAGGUAUACAGAGGGAACCCCCAAACUUCAGCCUGAAUGAGACUUCCCUUCCUGCCUCUAUUCAAUGUCAGUUUCACUUGCAACUGUUCAGGGGAAAGAUUUUUUUGCAAUCUCUUUCAACUAUCAGAUACUGGCAAUCCCUCUCCUGGAGUGCUGUGGUUGGAGAGUAUCGUGGGCUAACUUGGAAGGGCAAGGCUCUCCCAUAUCUAAACAGUGCAGUAAAGUAUUGCAUUGAGUAUAGUUACUCAGCCUUCUGUAGGGUUACUGGGCUCAACACAAUGUCCUAGCCAAGCUCACAAGGAAGAGGAAAUAUGGGAAUAUACACCACCAGAAGACGCUGUCUCCCUUGACAUUUUUGUCUGUAAAACAAUGUCUUACAGAGUGUUUUUAACUGAAAGGUGUUGUUGGCCUCUUUCCUUUUCAUUUUUUGACUUCUGUUUCCUGUAGGAGGAUCUCUGGAAUUCCUUAAUGUUGUCAUCGAGUCCUAGGGAAUUUUUUUUCCCUCUUUUAGCUGUGCUACAUCUCCCAGGUUGCCAGCAAUGCAAAAUUGCUGAGGGAAGACAUUUCUGUUUAAACUGGAAGCCAUGAAUACAAGAGCUUAUCCUCCCAGAGGAAAUGUUGUUUUUACUUCCAUGUACCCAAUCUUACAUCUUUGCUUUGUACUCAGGUAUUUUCACUUGAUACUUCCCAGUUUCCUGGAAAUUCUGAUUUACUCUCUUGCUGAAUCUGUGGAACAAGAUACCAAAUCCAUCUUACUUGGAAAAAAAUAUUAAAGAAAGAACAAUAAAAUCUUAAUUGAAACAUUUUGCUGAAAAAAUGUCACAGCAUAGUGAUUUUUGAAACA
Molecule: long non-coding RNA, 9831 nt
Organism: Motacilla alba alba
Lineage: Eukaryota; Metazoa; Chordata; Aves; Passeriformes; Motacillidae
Exons: 4
Source: RefSeq, a predicted model, not a curated record